UUAGGAAUCUUCCACAAUGGGCGAAAGCCUGAUGGAGCGACGCCGCGUGAGGGAUGAAGGCCUUAGGGUUGUAAACCUCUAAAAGAGGGACGAUAAUGACGGUACCUCUUGAAUAGCACCGGCUAACUCCGUGCCAGCAGCCGCGGUAAUACGGAGGGUGCAAGCGUUAUCCGGAAUCACUGGGCGUAAAGGGCGCGUAGGCGGUCUGUUAAGUCCGAUGUUAAAUCCCGGGGCUCAACCCCGGAUAAGCGUUGGAUACUGGCAGGCUGGACGUGGGAGAGGCGAGUGGAAUUACCAGUGUAGCGGUGGAAUGCGUAGAUACUGGUAGGAACACCCAUUGCGAAGGCAGCUCGCUGGACAACACGUGACGCUGAGGCGCGAAAGUGUGGGGAGCAAACC
Molecule: ribosomal RNA, 399 nt
Filed under: uncultured bacterium
Lineage: Bacteria
Description: bacterial SSU rRNA
Rfam family: Bacterial small subunit ribosomal RNA
Source: RNAcentral